CCUACGGGAGGCAGCAGUGGGGAAUAUUGCGCAAUGGGCGAAAGCCUGACGCCGCGACGCCGCGUGAGGGAUGAAGGUCUUCGGAUCGUAAACCUCUGUCAGCAGGGAAGAACGGUCACUGUGCUAAUCAGCAGUGAAUUGACGGUACCUGCAAAGGAAGCACCGGCUAACUCCGUGCCAGCAGCCGCGGUAAUACGGUGGGUGCGAGAGUUAAUCGGAAUUACUGGGCGUAAAGCGCUCGUAGGCGGUAUGUCAAGUCAAGGGUGAAAUCCCCGCGCUCAACGUGGGAACUGCCUUUGAAACUGGCGAACUUGAGUGUGUGAGAGGAUAGUGGAAUUCCAGGUGUAGGAGUGAAAUCCGUAGAUAUCUGGAGGAACAUCAGUGGCGAAGGCGACUAUCUGGCACAUAACUGACGCUGAGGAGCGAAAGCGUGGGUAGCGAACAGGAUUAGAUACCCGUGUAGUC
RNAcentral lists this ribosomal RNA (465 nucleotides) under uncultured bacterium. Its description in RNAcentral is "partial 16S ribosomal RNA". It matches the Rfam family "Bacterial small subunit ribosomal RNA", at positions 338 to 795 of the family's 1533-position model. The record is from RNAcentral.